AGAUUGAACGCUGGCGGCAUGCCUUACACAUGCAAGUCGAACGGCAGCGCGGGGCAACCUGGCGGCGAGUGGCGAACGGGUGAGUAAUAUAUCGGAACGUACCCUGGAGUGGGGGAUAACGUAGCGAAAGUUACGCUAAUACCGCAUACGAUCUAAGGAUGAAAGUGGGGGAUUCGCAAGAACCUCAUGCUCCUGGAGCGGCCGAUAUCUGAUUAGCUAGUUGGGUAGGGGUAAAGGCCCACCAAGGCAUCGAUCAGUAGCUGUCUGAGAGGACCGACAGCCACACUGGAACUGAGACACGGUCCAGACUCCGUACGGGAGCAGCGAGGUGGGUAAUUUUGGACAAGUGGGACGAAACGCCUUAGACUCCAG
Molecule: ribosomal RNA, 372 nt
Filed under: uncultured soil bacterium
Lineage: Bacteria
Description: bacterial SSU rRNA
Rfam family: Bacterial small subunit ribosomal RNA
Source: RNAcentral